AAAUUGAAGAGUUUGAUCAUGGCUCAGAUUGAACGCUGGCGGCAGGCCUAACACAUGCAAGUCGAACGGUAACAGGAAGCAGCUUGCUGCUUCGCUGACGAGUGGCGGACGGGUGAGUAAUGUCUGGGAAACUGCCUGAUGGAGGGGGAUAACUACUGGAAACGGUGGCUAAUACCGCAUAACGUCGCAAGACCAAAGAGGGGGACCUUCGGGCCUCUUGCCAUCAGAUGUGCCCAGAUGGGAUUAGCUUGUUGGUGAGGUAACGGCUCACCAAGGCGACGAUCCCUAGCUGGUCUGAGAGGAUGACCAGCCACACUGGAACUGAGACACGGUCCAGACUCCUACGGGAGGCAGCAGUGGGGAAUAUUGCACAAUGGGCGCAAGCCUGAUGCAGCCAUGCCGCGUGUAUGAAGAAGGCCUUCGGGUUGUAAAGUACUUUCAGCGGGGAGGAAGGUGUUGCGGUUAAUAACC
RNAcentral lists this ribosomal RNA (471 nucleotides) under Salmonella enterica subsp. enterica serovar Infantis. Its description in RNAcentral is "bacterial SSU rRNA". It matches the Rfam family "Bacterial small subunit ribosomal RNA", at positions 1 to 468 of the family's 1533-position model. RNAcentral also lists the same sequence under 3 other names. Lineage: Bacteria; Pseudomonadati; Pseudomonadota; Gammaproteobacteria; Enterobacterales; Enterobacteriaceae. The record is from RNAcentral.